Molecule: long non-coding RNA, 3964 nt
Organism: Gallus gallus (chicken)
Lineage: Eukaryota; Metazoa; Chordata; Aves; Galliformes; Phasianidae
Exons: 5
Source: RefSeq, a predicted model, not a curated record
UCUACGAUUCUGUGAUUCUAUGAUUCUAUGAAAUAAGCUUUUGCAGAGAUUCAUUUACAAAUAUGGCUUUUUGUACUCCCACUACUUUGAUUUGUCUUUAGUUGAAGGAAAGGUUUCAAAAAAACUUAAAAACAAAAAUUAGAAGUAAUGCACAUUUUCACUACUGAGCUAACAUAUUUCUAGUUCUGGAAUUCUGUAUUUGAUCAGAUUCUAUACUCCAGAUAUUCCACAUAUGGCAGUUAGUUUUGUUAAAAUAAUUGUCUUUUUUUUUCCUUUAAUUUUCUUUUUCCAAUUAGUUUCAAGCCUAAGAAAACAUUAAAAUCAUCUGUGUGGCAUCCUUCUGCCUUCUUUGCUCAGUUAUGUCAUUAUUACAUUUUAGCACAUGCUGAAGAGGAUUGGCACCUGUUACGUAAUACCUGCUCUUUUAUUCUGCCAAGUGCCAUAAAAAUCAAAUUUCACUUAAUGUAUCUGAUGAGAGGUAUGUUCUCUAAGUGGACCAUACGCAUUGGCAUACACAGCAAAAGUCGAGAUUCUUCACCUUUUCCAACAGGAAAAUUUUCCUACGUAAUUUUUUUUCCACUGUCAUGGUAAUACUUCUUUCUCAUCGAGAGUUUUGUGGGAAGUUAGUUUUAUCUGUUAUGUCAGGUAUUACAUCAGUCAGUUAUAAAAAUUAUAAUGAUUUUAUACAUGUGGAAGGACAUCAACAUGUCUUCUUCCUGACAAAUCUUCUGCAGGGCAGGAGGGCAUAUAUGAAAUCUUAUUGUGCUGUGCUUUUGCUGGCAUGAUUUACAGAUAAGUGUGAAUGCAGUGUUUCUUUUCGACAGCAAAAACGUAGCUUUUCAAUUCCUUUUACAGACAAACACAGAUACAUAUAUAUGUAAAGAUUUUAUAGCCUUGUACUACAAACCAAUUAUGUUGCAUAUCAAAUAAAUACGGAGGUUUUUUUUUUUUCUGUCGAGAAAAAAAUGGAGAGAGUAAUCAUGAAUGAAAGGAGCCUUUAGCAAAGAUAUACAUUACUUGUUUAUCUUCACUGUUACCACUUUCAUCAACGGUUUCUAAAAAUUACACCCUUGUUUAGUUAACACAGAUCCUUAUCUUGAGUUUAUCACAUCGCCAGUGGCUGACAUUUUACAAAGGCAUUCCCUGUAGCUAAACACAUCCCUGAAACAUCAAGAAGCCCUUGCCAGAUUUUUUUUCAGCCAAUCCUGAAGACCAAAUUUCAAUAUGAAAGCUUUCCGCAUAUUUUAGCUAAUUUUAAAUUAGGAAUGUGAAUCUUUUCCUAAGCUCAUAUGAACUUAAAUGGCCAUGUGCAAUUAUGGAUGCUGACUGCUAAAUGGAAACACAUGUUUCAAUGUAAAAAUCCUUCUUAUCACAUUCAGGCUUCCUGAAACUCAAUUACGUUUUAAUUUGAGUUUCAUUAUAAAGCAUUUUUACUAUCUGUCUCUUUACAUAUACAGUUUUUAUUUUUGUUAUUAUUUUAAUCUGUUAAGCUACUUUUCAUUAUGCUAAUUCACAUUCUCAUUGCUGUGCUUAUGAAAUAAUUGUAAUUUUAAUGAAAUAAUUGUAGUCCUAAUAUUAACUAAAAUAUCAUGAAUUUAUUUCCCUGUUUUUACAGGAGAGGCAGCGAAAUGGACAACAUAGCUUGAAUCAGUUACAGCACUGACUUGAAAUUAUUUAGAACACCAGCCCCAUCCCACUCAAUCCCCAUCCUGUUUUUGUCUUAUAUGUCUGUGAUGUUCCAUGAGAAAGACAGAGAGCCUACCAGUGCUGCUGAACCCAGACUCUCUUGCAUCCCAUGUCACUUACACCAGAGGAACUCCGAGAACAGGCUGAAACCAUGCAGUGGCUGUUUGCACAGAAUUUACCACUGCAAACUUUUCUGACUCUGGACAACUGCACCGCCACGGUUGUGCCAGAGCAGGCCAAAGAACAAGAGGUUAUGGACGUGAGGAUACUUUCAUAUAUCUAGAACAGAUACUGCCGUUUGAUCCUCAACAUUAACAAAAUUAUGUUUGACUAGAAGAUUAUAAAAUGGAAAGCUAAUAUUAUUUCCAGUUAAACAAAAGCACUGCAACCUCAGCAAAAUCAUGCUGUUGUCUAUGCGGUUUCGGUUACAAGAUACGUUUUCUACAUCAGAAAGCGGGUGCUUCAUUAACAUUCAUAAUGCCAAAUUUUUAAAGACAGCCAACUGAGUGUCAAAGAAAACUUUGACACACGUUUUUGCAGCUGUGUUCUGUCUCAGUAUUUGUGUCACACUUUGAUGGUGCCUUCUGCCAGAUAGGGCUAGAAGUGGCACACUGGCAUGGUCUCUUUUAUUCACUGCAGCUGAAGAACAGAAUAGUGAGACCUUCUGCACUUCCUCAAAUCAGCAAAAAAGCCCUUGAAAUCUUGCUGAGCAAGCAGUCUCUUAUUGCUGAGCUUGUUUAAAUUAGCCAGCUGAGAAUCCAAGCUCUGAUCCCAUUAUAACUUGAAACAUAUAGUUUCUGUGACUUUAUUUUAUUUCUAUUAUUUUUAAACAGAUACAAAUGAAUUGCAGUCACAGAGUAUGCACAGGAGAACUACAGCAUGCACUCACGGGCAUUCAAAUUAUAACCAUGAAAAAAGAAUGAUCAACCACACAUCCAGCUCAACAGUAUAUACAUAGAGCUGCCAACAGUGAAGUAUAUUCAUUAAAGCUGGUUGGGAAUAUACAUAAUACAGAAAUCAUAUCACUAUCAAAAGAGGAAUUUCUGUUUAUUUAUUUAUUAACUUACAGAAAUAACCACUGUAAUAGAGAAGGAAUACUAAUAAAGUUCCAGAAUCCUGAUGUGUCUAAGAAGGUGCCAAAACCAUCCAGCUGUCCCAGUCUUCUGAAAUAACUCCACUAAAUAAAUUCAGACCUUUUCCCAUAUAGAAAAAUAAGGAUUUUCUUUUUGAUUGCAAAUUUCUUUGAGGCAUCUCUUCAGAGUCAGUUUUGUCUGAAAUUCUGCAAGUACACAAUAUCAAGACCCUCUUUUGGCUGGUAAAUAUAUCACACUUGGAUUCCUUUUCACAUGAACCUUGCUGACAUUUUCUCCCUUUUGUAUCUUAUACAUCUGACCAGAAAAUAAUAAAUUAUUUGUAAUUUAUAACUUCAUUUAACAGUAGUUCAUAGUUUAAUGUGCUGGAAUGUAACACGUGAUGAUUGGGCAGAGUCCAGCACAAAAAUAAUUUGGUGGUCUUUUUUCAGAAUUUUUUAAUAGUCCACAAACCCCCAGGGAAGCGGGACAUCUGUUGGAGUACUCUUUCAGUAGACAUCUCAAGUGGCCAGCUAACCUGCUGGGGAAUGGAUCAUCCUGCAGAGGGUGAAUCAUGAGCUCACAGAUGAAAGUCACCCAAGAUGACAUCCCAGAUACUAUUGGCAAACAUCAUACAUGCCGAAAUCAAAGAUGAAGCUGUCAAACAGUAAGAGUGGAUGCUGCAGGGAUAGACAGCAACAUCAUGUUAAAGAAAACGCUCUCAGAAGCCUUCAGGGGAAGUCACUGCACAAAGUGGAAAGUGUGUUUAAAAAAGAGAGAGAAAAAUUAAAGUAUAUAAGCCAACUCAAGGUAUCUUGAGGUACCAGUAGUGUGUUGUAGAACGUUCGACUCCUGGGAUGCAUAUGUGGAAUGGAAGAUUUGGACUUUAUCUGGAUGUUCUACUGGCUAUUCAGAAGAUGGCCCUGAGAGAGGAGUUGACUCUACUUCUCUUCUGAAGUUGGGUUAUUGCAAAAAGUAUCAUUUCAGGCAAGCUCUGUAAGCCCAUGUCUGAGUCACUGAGAUGUGCUUUGCAAUGGAGGAUUAAGGGAGUUUGCACAUGGAAGCAUGACUGUGCUUGCAGUCCCACAGUAGAAAAGGCAACCAGGAGGGGGGAAUAAUCAGUAACAAGGAAAGAACUGCCUGGGAUGUCCGGGCUGGCCACCAGUGGAAAAAAAAGAAAGAAUCAGAUGAGAACUGAGUGAAGUAUA